UCCUGUAGCAUGCACGUAUGGUUAACCGUUAUGUGAUGAAGUCGGAGCAUGAUUUAUUUAUUGAUUGUCAUCCUUUGUGUGGAGGUCGGGAUCGCGCGAUGGUUAACUCCUACCAACCUUUCCCCUAGGAGCAUGCGUGUAGUACCUUGUUUCGACGACUAAUAGACUUUCGCAAUAAGUAUGUGAGUUCUUUAUGACUAAUGUUGAGUCCAUGGAUUAUACGCACUUUCACCCUUCCACCAUUGCUAGCCUCUCUAGUACCGCACAACUUUCGCCGGUGCAUUACACCCACCAUAUAGCCUCCCUCAAAAC
RNAcentral lists this long non-coding RNA (312 nucleotides) under Hordeum vulgare. RNAcentral describes it as "long non-coding RNA (HVUL_LNC020199)". The record is from RNAcentral. Lineage: Eukaryota; Viridiplantae; Streptophyta; Magnoliopsida; Poales; Poaceae.